UACGUAGGGGGCAAGCGUUGUCCGGAAUUAUUGGGCGUAAAGAGCGUGCAGGCGGCCAGAUAAGUCCGCUGUGAAAUCUCGAGGCUCAACUUCGAGCUGUCGGUGGAAACUGUCUGGCUAGAGUCCGGAAGAGGAGAAUGGAAUUCCUGGUGUAGCGGUGAAAUGCGCAGAUAUCAGGAAGAACACCCGUGGCGAAGGCGGUUCUCUGGGACGGUACUGACGCUGAGACGCGAAAGCGUGGGGAGCGAACAGG
Molecule: ribosomal RNA, 253 nt
Filed under: uncultured bacterium
Lineage: Bacteria
Description: partial 16S ribosomal RNA
Rfam family: Bacterial small subunit ribosomal RNA
Source: RNAcentral